This 82-nucleotide transfer RNA is filed under the name Savagea faecisuis. Its description in RNAcentral is "tRNA-Leu". It matches the Rfam family "tRNA". From Rfam's summary of the family: Transfer RNA (tRNA) molecules are approximately 80 nucleotides in length. Their secondary structure includes four short double-helical elements and three loops (D, anti-codon, and T loops). Further hydrogen bonds mediate the characteristic L-shaped molecular structure. tRNAs have two regions of fundamental functional importance: the anti-codon, which is responsible for specific mRNA codon recognition, and the 3' end, to which the tRNAs corresponding amino acid is attached (by aminoacyl-tRNA synthetases). tRNAs cope with the degeneracy of the genetic code in two manners: having more than one tRNA (with a specific anti-codon) for a particular amino acid; and 'wobble' base-pairing, i.e. permitting non-standard base-pairing at the 3rd anti-codon position. RNAcentral also lists the same sequence under 1 other name. The record is from RNAcentral. Lineage: Bacteria; Bacillati; Bacillota; Bacilli; Caryophanales; Caryophanaceae.
GCCCGAGUGGUGGAAUGGCAGACACGUCGCACUCAAAAUGCGAUGCUCUCUGGGCAUGCCGGUUCAAGUCCGGCCUCGGGUA